Molecule: long non-coding RNA, 1521 nt
Organism: Meriones unguiculatus (Mongolian gerbil)
Lineage: Eukaryota; Metazoa; Chordata; Mammalia; Rodentia; Muridae
Exons: 5
Source: RefSeq, a predicted model, not a curated record
CCUCGCUCGCUCUGCGCGGGAGCUGCGGGCGGUCACCGACUAGGCCGGCGCCUGCCGCGGCGGCUUCCCCGCGGGAACUCGGCGAAGUGGAGCGGCCCAGGGCUCCGCGCUCCUCGCGGGCGGAGCUGCGGCUGCUUGGGCUGAGGAGCGGAUCUCCUCUCAGAUCUGGAUUUCUUCUCUGUCCCUUCGACGGUCUGGACUCCUUCUCCAGAGCCAUUUACUUAACCUGGUGGAUCAGCUGCCUCGCACCGUCCCAGGCUGCGUCUCCCAGAUCUCCUGGGUGUCAACCAGCCCCUCGGACUCCUAGCGGCAGCGCGAGGACUGGGAAGCCACGGAAGCCCACCCUCCUCGAUUUCAGAAGAAAGCAGGGACAGGGGUAACCUGCCCAAGAACCCGGGAGCUGUGCCAGACUCCCAGCGCGUGGGGUUCCCAACUUCUUGGCUGUCCAAGGAGCCCCCAUGGUGCCAGGGGAGUCUGGUGACUUCAGCUCCACGCUUACCAGACCUGUUUCAGCUUGACCCCUUCCUCUCCAAGGGUUAAAACGUUCGGAAGGCCCACCCCACACACACCACCACCACCACAACCACCAUCCUCUGCAGCUGCGACCAGAGAAUUAAAGUUAGAAGGACGUUGGUCAAACUGGUCUCCAUCCUGGGAAUCCCUGGGCAAUUGGAGAGCAUGAUUCAGAUAGCCCCCGGCAGACCACCGCCUGGACUCUGUUGACAGGGAAUGGAACUUGGGUCAUCGGACUUGGCAGCAAGGGGCAGCCCCUUUUCUCCUCUUUGAUCACGCUGAGGCCCAGAGGAGAGAAGGGCUUCUUUAAAGUCACACAAGGAAAGAUGGUUGAAUUCCAUCUUCAAUCCUGUGCCCAAGAUCCCAUCAGUGGAGGAUAUUUGGGACAAAGAAAAAGAAGAAGAGGAAGUGGAAGAGGAAGAAGGGGAGGAGAAGAAUGUAGACCACCAAGAACAAGAGAAAGAAGAAAACAGGAUCAAGACCCUUUUCGGAGUCCCCAAGAAGGACCCAGUGUGGAGCUUCAUGUCUUGGCCCAGGCCCUUCCCAGAGCAAGUCCGGUGGUGGGAAGACUUCUCCCUGCCCCCACUGCGAGGACCCUGCCUCUGCAGGUGCAAACUGGGCACGAAGAUGAGGCUCCGCCCCCUACCCUCCCUGACCUCCUGCUCCACCCCUAAACCCUUUCCCUCAGUGGCAUCCAGAGAAGAGCCUAGCUGGCUAAGAAACCAGCCUGUGAUGCAGCCUCCACCAAUGUACAGACUGAAGACCCCUAAGACAGUGCCCAAACUUCCUCCCAAGGUCUCCCCUAAGAGACCCACUGCCCCCAAGGCCGGGCAACAGCAGACCGCAGUGUCAACGUGGCCUCCAAUAACUAUGAGCCCCAUUUCAAAGAGCUCUGCUCUUAAGGGACAGCAUAAACCCUCUGCCACAGAGGCCUCUCAUACCCCAGGUGCCUGGGGCAAUCCCUUGCCUCACCUUUCUUCGAAAUAAAUAUUUUUGUUACACCGGCAA